RNAcentral lists this small RNA (789 nucleotides) under Histoplasma capsulatum. Its description in RNAcentral is "hypothetical RNA". The record is from RNAcentral. Lineage: Eukaryota; Fungi; Ascomycota; Eurotiomycetes; Onygenales; Ajellomycetaceae. RNAcentral also lists the same sequence under 1 other name.
CAAAACGCCAAUAACCAUUAUAUCCUGGUCUAAAAGUCGGCUUCCGCGUAUAGUUGCGUUGCCUUUUGCAAGAAUUCAGGCUUUUUUGCCAAUGGAACCGUAGGUGGUUUGACUACCCAAAAAGGUGACAUUCCCGGAAACAAUACGCAGUAGUUUCAGUAGAGCUUUGGCCCAGGCAUCCGAAUGCCAAAGCGAGGCUAUUUUGCGAAAGUAUGAAGGUCAAAUGCCAAACGAAACAACUUACCUUGUUACAAACAAGCGGAUACAGCUCAUCCUUAAGAGCCAUAUUCAGUAGAUCCUUUUGAAGUAAAUCGCUCCGGCAUUCUUUAUUAUAAACUCUUGACAGCAAUUCGUUACUAGAUGAAAGUGCAGCUUUUGUAUAGUAAAUCUUUGCUGGUGAUAUCGAUGUGGCAAUAUUGUGGGGAACAGAUUUCAAGGGACUACAAAGUCAUAUGUUAUUUAUUGACUAGCUCGGAGCAGGUGAGCGGGCCAUAGAGGGUUGGUUGCGUAAGCUAACUGCUAACAAGGUGCUGACCCGUCACAUAAAGAAUUUACUAUGUAUAGUAAAUCUUGAUUUAGAGUAGAAUAGGUCUUUGAUAGUUGAUAGAAUAAUAAUAUUAAAAAAAAAUCAAUUGUAUAUGUUAAAAUAAAAGCAGAGUAAUAAAGGUGAUUAAUUAUGUUGGUGAAGAGUUUUUGUUGAUAUCUUGAGAUAAAUAAUAUCUUCAACCAGCAUAGAAAACAUAUGCUUUGAUCUUCUUAUCUACAACUUAUAGUUAAAGGCAAUAUGGC